GGAGGUUGCAGCGUAAACUUUUCAGUGUCCGGAGGAGCUGCUGACUGUCUAAGAUGCAGACAGAAACAGAUAGCGCUUAGGCAACCGAUAUGCUCAGCUGGUGAAGCCAGGACCUGAGUUUGAGCCCCAGAACCCACCUAAGGAUGGACAGUGGACCGAGAGAACUGACUCCAAAGCACAGGUGCUUCCUCUCUCUACCCCUGAGUCACAGACACACACACUCACACCGUAACAAAAAAUCCUGGUGGAGGCAAUGUAAGGAAAGAAUGGCUUCUCAUGGCUCACAGUUUGUGGGUACCGUUCAUCAAGGUGGGGAAGACAUGCAAGCCAGAACUGUUCCCAGUGCAUCUGAGUCUGGAGUCAGAGAAAGGGGGAAGUUGGUAUGGAAUCACUUAAUUCAUAAGUUGUUAUUAUUAUUAUUAUUAUUAUUAUUAUUAUUAUUAUUGUUUAUUUU
This is a long non-coding RNA of Mastomys coucha (southern multimammate mouse), 454 nucleotides long. RefSeq lists it as uncharacterized. The transcript is spliced from 3 exons. The record is from RefSeq and is a predicted model, not a curated record. NCBI's taxonomy places the organism in Eukaryota, Metazoa, Chordata, Mammalia, Rodentia, Muridae.